UACAGAGGUCCCAAGCGUUGUUCGGAUUUACUGGGCGUAAAGGGUGCGUAGGCGGUCGGUUAAGUCUGAUGUGAAAUCUCCGGGCCCAACUCGGAAACUGCAUUAGAAACUACCCGGCUAGAGGGUUGGAGGGGGGACUGGAAUUCUUGGUGUAGCAGUGAAAUGCGUAGAUAUCAAGAGGAACACCAGUGGCGAAGGCGAGUCCCUGGACAACUCCUGACGCUGAGGCACGAAAGCCAGGGGAUCAAACAGG
RNAcentral lists this ribosomal RNA (253 nucleotides) under uncultured bacterium. Its description in RNAcentral is "partial 16S ribosomal RNA". It matches the Rfam family "Bacterial small subunit ribosomal RNA", at positions 524 to 776 of the family's 1533-position model. The record is from RNAcentral.